CUACGGGGUGCAGCAGUCGCGAAACCUUUGCAAUAAGCGAAAGCUUGACAGGGCUACCCCGAGUGCCAUCCGCUGAGGAAGGCUUUUACCCAGUCUAGAAAGCUGGGGGAAUAAGGAGAGGGCAAGUCUGGUGUCAGCCGCCGCGGUAAUACCAGCUCUUCGAGUGGUGUGGAUGUUUAUUGGGCCUAAAGCAUCCGUAGCUGGCUAGGUCAGUCCCUUGUUAAAUCCACCGAAUUAAUCGUUGGAUCGCGGGGGAUACUGCUUGGCUAGGGGACGAGAGAGGCAGACGGUAUUUUCGGGGUAGGGGUGAAAUCCUAUAAUCCCGGGAAGACCACCAGUGGCGAAGGCUGUCUGCUAGAACGCGCCCGACGGUGAGGGAUGAAAGCUGGGGGAGCGAACCGGAUUAGAUACCCGGGUAGUCCCAGCUGUAAACGAUGCAGACUAGGUGUUUGGACGGCCACGUGCCGUUCUAGUGCCGCAGGGAAGCUGUUAAGUCUGCCGCCUGGGGAGUACGAUCGCAAGAUUGAAACUUAAAGGAAUUGGCGGGGGAGCACCACAAGGGGUGAAGCUUGCGGUUUAAUUGGAGUCAACGCCGGAAAUCUCACCGGGAGCGACAGCAGUAUGAAAGCCAGAUUGAAGGUCUUGCUAGACGAGCUGAGAGGAGGUGCA
RNAcentral lists this ribosomal RNA (669 nucleotides) under uncultured archaeon. RNAcentral describes it as "bacterial SSU rRNA". It matches the Rfam family "Archaeal small subunit ribosomal RNA", at positions 323 to 994 of the family's 1478-position model. The record is from RNAcentral.